This 538-nucleotide ribosomal RNA is filed under the name uncultured bacterium. Its description in RNAcentral is "bacterial SSU rRNA". It matches the Rfam family "Bacterial small subunit ribosomal RNA", at positions 28 to 657 of the family's 1533-position model. The record is from RNAcentral.
GAUGAACGCUAGCUACAGGCUUAACACAUGCAAGUCGAGGGACCGGCGCACGGGUGAGUAACGCGUAUCCAACCUGCCCACCACUUGGGGAUAACCUUGCGAAAGUAAGACUAAUACCCAAUGGUGAUGGAUGGGGAUGCGUCUGAUUAGCUUGUUGGCGGGGUAACGGCCCACCAAGGCGACGAUCAGUAGGGGUUCUGAGAGGAAGGUCCCCCACAUUGGAACUGAGACACGGUCCAAACUCCUACGGGAGGCAGCAGUGAGGAAUAUUGGUCAAUGGGCGAGAGCCUGAACCAGCCAAGUAGCGUGCAGGAUGACGGCCUAUGGGUUGUAAACUGCUUUUAUAAGGGAAUAUGUACCUUAUGAAUAAGGACCGGCUAAUUCCGUGCCAGCAGCCGCGGUAAUACGGAAGGUCCGGGCGUUAUCCGGAUUUAUUGGGUUUAAAGGGAGCGUAGGCCGGAGAUUAAGCGUGUUGUGAAAUGUAGACGCUCAACGUCUGCACUGCAGCGCGAACUGGUUUCCUUGAGUACGCACAAAG